This is a long non-coding RNA of Ictalurus punctatus (channel catfish), 3775 nucleotides long. The record is from Ensembl. Lineage: Eukaryota; Metazoa; Chordata; Actinopteri; Siluriformes; Ictaluridae.
AAACCACAUAGGUGAUUGUAUAACAUUACACUUGGGACACCCUGGGUUAGGGUUAGUCAUGAUGUUGGGUUAGGGUUAGUCAUGAUAUUGGGUUAGGGUUAGUCAUGAUGUUGGGUUAGGGUUUCCCAGUCAAUGUCAUGAUAUCGGGUUAGGUUUAGGGUUAGUCAUGAUAUUGGGUUAGGGUUAGGCUUAGUCAUGAUAUUGGGUUAGGGUUAGUCAUGAUAUUGGGUUAGGGUUAGUCAUGAUAUUGGGUUAGGGUUAGUCAUGAUAUUGGGUUAGGGUUCCCCAUUCAUUAUGAUGAUAUUAGGUUAGGGCUGGUCUUGAUAUUGAAUGAGAAAGAUAAAAAAAUAAACUACUACCCUUAUUAGUAACUCAGUGUUACUAUUAUGAAACCAUUAUGAUUCUGUCCUAGAAGCCCCAUGGAGUCUCAUUAUAGACAUAAAACGAUUACACACAGUAAUGAUUUAAACACAUAAACACAGGAACAUAUUCAUUGAAAGACAGUUAGGCAACACCAUUCAUGAUUGCCAUGUCUCUGUCGAUUAGCAAGCACGGUAAACAGAAAAGCUGCACUUGUCACGAGUCAGCCCUUUCAUUCAAACCGAACAAAACUAAUGGUUCUGUCUUUUCUCCCUUCGUGUCAUUUUUGUACAUCGGUUGCCCAACGUUUACUUCUACUUCUAGUUUAUCCUCCAUUUUGAAGGCAUUUUGGAAAAUCAAAUGCUCAAGACCGUAAUCCACCUUGUUCGUGUUUAUUAAACCCUAUAUUGUAUUUCACAUCAGUCCCAGCCCAUGAUAUGUUAUGGAUGUAGUCACAAUGCAGGCUUGAAUGAAUUAGCCCCAGUACAUAUUAACACCAGGGGGCAUUUCACUAGGCUGUGUGUUUCUACAGUCUGGCCUAGAAAGAAAUUAGCCCUAGCCUUUACCUCCUCCCAUUCUGUUUGUUUGUACUUACCACCAUUAGUUGUACUGUUGUUUUUGGUCUCUAAAUAUAUUCACUUUAAGUCAUUUGUUAACACCAAGCCAUGCUAUCCCAUUUAGACCAGCCAGAUCUCGUGACAAUGGCUCAAUUAAUAGAAGCAGUUAGCCUUUUUAGCGUUCUUCUUUUCUACAACUUCCUAUAUGAAGUCUGGUUGUUUUUAAAAAUGAAAAAAAAAAGUUCAUACGUACUAUAAAACCACCAAUAUAGCAUGUGGAAAUGUGCACCGACCACCGGGUUUCCUUUGUGUAUCUUAUGUUUCAAACACGCUCCUUUGUUGAGAUCCUUUUGGUUUUCCAUCCUCAAAUUCCCCCCUUUUCCUUCCAAGAAUAAUUUCUCUCAUACAUUUUGCGUUAAAAGUGCUAAAUAGCUUGAGGUGUUAAGGUAAGCUUGAGCUUGAGGUGUUAAGGUAAACCAAAAGUUUAGCAAAAAUUGUAUUUAUUUAUUUUUUCUAUGCUCCCAUCUAAAAAUUACAAUUAUACAUUGUAUACACUGAAAGAAAAAAAAAAAAACAACAAAAAAAACCCCCACGGCUUUAUUCUAAUCAUUCUUCAGGCUCCAGGUAUCCACGCAUCUCGUUAUUUUAUGUGGGAGGACUUUCAAACUAAUAUUGCAGCUCAAAUGACUAGUUUGAAAGGCAUCUACAUGUUGCUGAAGUGUGUGGGCUUUUCUUUAACCUAUCUAAAGGCACCUACAUACUUUUCUGAGCUAUUACUCAUUAGUCAAGAUCUGGAGACUCAAAAAGAACAAAAAGAGAUGAGCAGUGAAAGAGCUACGCUGUAUGUGGCAGCAGGUUAGCAGACUUCUAAAUGUGAGUCAGCUUUCAGUUUGCUCAGCGUUUACAGCUACCAUUUCCACCCCUUACACUAUGAGAGAAAAAAAAACAACAAAAAACGUUAAAUCUAGCACUGUGAAGGGUUCCUCGGUUUGUGCUCAUGACGAGACGUAAAGAUUGCAUGCAGGUCCUUAUAAUAACGGAAGCUAUGCAGUAAUUUUCGCAUUCACAAAUCAUUCCAGGUAGAAUCCCUUUAGGUAAAUGGUAUGAAUAACCAUCCAAAGAACCCUUGAGGAGCCUUUUUUGGGGGGGGAGGGGGGCAGCUUUACUCAGACAUCCUCAAAAUGAGCAGUCAUUGGUUCAGAACAGUUGAUCCAAACCAUCCAGUGGAGCCCUUACACAUUAACAAAAAACAUGCAAAUAAAGGUUCAAUCUAAGACCUUCUUUUGUUUGUCCCUCUGAGGGAAUCUAUAAAAGGUUCUAUGUUGAGCCUUACAACCAUCUUUCCCUCUCAGAGAACAUUCCAAGGAGAACCUCUGUCCAUUCUAAGCGUUUCAUCUGCCAAUAGUCUGAGCUAAUUCUGUUGGUUAUUGCACUUUGGGGGAAAAAGUUUUUCCUUCUGGGCCAAGCCUUAAAAGUUCUAUGCAGAGCACUACACAGACAGUUCCAAUUUAGAAAAGGACAUCUUAACAUCUUAAGGAAGCUAUAGAAUGUAACUAGAUCCCAAUUAAAAGCCUGAGAGAGAGGGAGAGAGAGAGAGAGAGAGAGAGAGAGAGAGAGAGAGAGAGAGAGAGAUGAGUACAUGAAGGAUUGGUUGAUGGCUGGAAGUGCAGUAGAUAUAGUACAAUUAGGAAGCAUUGGGGAUGCUUAAACAUACAAAGGCUGCUUGAGAACUGCUUAUUCUAACAGAGGACAGUUCCUUUCAGAAAGCAUUAACCAUCCCAAGAACCCUUAAAGAAUUUUUUUCAAAGAGUGUAUAUUACAUAUAUUAAAGCUUAUGCAGUGUAUUUAUAUAUUGUAGCCUGUUCUUCCACAGAAACAGCUAAGUACUGACUGAACUCAAAUGUGAUCUUACACUUGCAAAUUCCUACCAAUUUUGCAUGACUCGAGUGACAUGAAAAGCUACAAAAGUGUACGCUGAAAGACAUGGGUAGCGUAGGUACCUUGAGUUAUGACCUCACUAAUAACCAAAAAUAUCCUCCUCGAUUGUGUGAAUUUGUAUAAACGUCCUCAUGUCCGAGUUGAUAUCUAAGGAAUAACCUCUAGCUGUUUGUUAAAGAGUCUUAACAUGGCCAAGAUCCACCUAAUUCCUUGACUGAAUUCCAAAUGAUCAACCACAUUCACUUACCACUCACUGUUUUUAAUGAGUCUUUAUUGAUCACAUAUACAUAUCAACAGUGAAAUUCUUUUCUUCACAUACCCCAGUAUGUCAGAAAGUUGGGGUCAGAGUGCAGGGUCAGCCAUGAUACAGCACCCCUGGAGUAGACAGGGCUAAGGGCCUUGCUGAAGGGCCAAUAGUGGCAGCUUGGCAGUGCUGGGAAUUGAACCCCCGACCUUCUAAUCAAUAACCCAGAGUUUUAACUGCCAAGCUACCACUGCCCCUGAGGAAAUUCUAAAAACAAAAACAUUUUCCCAAUAUCUCUCCCAUUAUGUUCCAAAGUUUAUUAUCCGGUUGGAAACCGAUGGAUGGAAGUUUGUAUAUCCAUAAAUCUAGAGAGAUAAUCAAAUUACAGCAGCCAAAAUCCUGGAGCUUGUUGCCAGAAAAGUGUACAAAAGAUAUCAGAUGCUCUGUGAGGUGUAGGCAGGAUGUCUGGGGAUGAGACUGUAUUUACCUCUGUUUUUACUGUUUAUUUCUGUGACAAUUAUAAUAAUAAUAAUAAUCAUAAUCAUAAUAAUUACCAUAUGACACAAAAGCUGAUCGAUAUCUUAUAAGCUAUACAUAAUUUCUACUAUGUGUUACUUUUAUAACAGAUUCCACAUUAAGGGUGAGUCAAAAUAACCAAGCUUUUGCUUACUAUACA